GAACUUGGUGUUGCUGUAGUUCAUGCUAAAAACAAAUAUUUAUUUUAAAUAUAUUGUCCUUUCUUGGUUAAGUGCUUACUCUUUUUACAAGGAAAAGGCAAUGCUGAUCUUAAACAUAAGAUUGAAAAAAACAGUACACGAUAGGCUACUGUGAUUGCUUGGCUCAUUUAAUAAUUUUUAUUCUUAAUAUUUAGUAAGAAGGCAAAGUUGAAAUUCUUGAACUAUUCAUUUUUUUUUUUUUAAUAAUGGCCUACUACAGAGUUACUACUUUUCCUCACUUCCAUUUGUUUUUGUGAUAAAUUCAAUUCUAAGUUAAUAAUAUUGAAAUAAAGGUCAGGUUUUAAUACAGUAAGAGAUGAUAUUAGAAAAAACUAAAAACCUCACUAUAUAAUAAUUUUUUUCUUAUCUUUUGAUGCAAAAAAAUACCAAUAGUCUAUAUUAAUAUUCAAGACACUUAUUUCUUAUAUUUAACUGGUUUAAAUAUAUUUUUGACUGAAUUGUAACUAAGUUACAUGUGAAGACAAUUUUCAAGCAGAUGAACAUAGUAUAGCGUUCUGUAUCUUUUAGACAUCCUCUAAAUAAACUAUGGCAAAGUAAACACUACUAUUUUGCAGAUUUAAAAAAAAUUACAUUGAUGUCUUUGGAACAGCUUUCUAUUUUGUGCCUUCUUAUUAACCAGUUUCAGCUUCCUAAACUGUAUAUUCUGAAGAAGUUUGAAAAUGGGAUUGAUCUUGUCAUUUUUGCUCUUUCAUUAUUAAUUUAUAUACUUUGAGAUCUUUGAGAAAAAAUUAUUUUGGACAGAAUUUCUCUUUAGUAAGCAGGAACAUAAAAAUAGUGAUAUCUCAUUGCAUAACAAUGCCUGUGGAAUCCAUGUUGUGGAACUAACUGUUGAGGUGUUUCUAAAGAAAAUGUCCAAUAAUAUACCAGCCCCCUUUUGCAUAACCCAAAGUAGAUAAAUCUCAUUUUAAAUUUUAUAACAUGUUACAGUUUUAUCUAAAAUAUAGAGAGCCAAAUAAGAGAUUUCUCAUAUAUACUUUUCCCAAAUGAAAAGAUUCAUUUUCUCUUUAAAAUUUAGACUCAAAGAUAAAUAUUUUCUUCUUUUAUAUUUUAAAGUUUUGAUAAUAAUUAAAGUCACUGUUAGCUAACAGUCUAUCAAUAUGUCUAAUUUUAAAAAUUACUUAGCAAUGAUUUUCUUUUAAAGGCAAUUAAAAAUGGUGGUAUUUAUCAUAAUAAUGCUGAAAUUGAACAUUAAUAUUUUAGUUACAUUGUCUCCUGAGCUUUAUUGCUGUAUCAUUCAGGGUCUAAAAAAGUUCAUAUUUAAUGGUUCAUUUCUUAGAUAUUUUGUAUACUCUUUUUUUCCUUAGAUUCAUACAGGGGCCCAGAGUACCAUGAGAGAUUUUACAUCUUGGCAGAUAUAUCCAGUUAUUAUAACCUCACAUUGUGGGAGUUCAAUAACUUUCCAAUGUUAACUGUUCUAACAUUGCUAUUUUAAUUAUCCUUAGAAAUAUAAUUAAGACCUUGUUGAAAGACACAUUUUAAAAUGAAUUCCUGAGCCCAGGAUUGUUUGGAAUUCUUAAAGAGUUUCAUGAAUAUUCAAGUACAAAAGAUUUAAUAAUAGCCAGAGAUCUAGAAACUGUUAAUUGGCCAACCUGUUAACACAUAUGUGGCAUUGUCUAAACUAUUACCCAAAUAAAACAGACAUAGAGGGGCUACCUCCACUCCAUGACAACAUACUUCAGCAUGUAAUAAUGUUACUGAUUUCCCUUCAUUACAUUAGGCACUAUUAUAAAAACAAGGUAGUAUUCAUUAAGUUGUGAUCCAAAAUUGCUAAGUUUAGUAAUGAAACCUUUUCAAUUAUCAAUUCUUUGUGCCCAUGUGAUUAUGGUUUUCAUCAAUUUUACCACAAAGUCCCUAAAAAUCAGCUUUGAUAUGAGUUGGUGUUAUAUUUAAAGAAUGAUACUGUGGAGAAAAUUCUGGGAUUAGAAAGCAGAAAUAUGAAUUGCAGUUGUGAUUUUGCCACUACCUGGUUGUGUGACCUCAGGAAGAAUACUUUAUCUUCAUAGGCUUUGGUUCCUCAUCUGCUAAAUGAGAGCCUUUCCAGAUUUAACUUGGAGUGGUAUUUUAUAGUUACAGGCAGUUCAGGAAAAACAUUCAGUUUAUUAGCUACAACUGGUUAAUAAUAAGCAAUAUUCCCUUUUCCUCAUUCUUACAUGACACAGAGUUCCUUAACCUGGAUCCUGAGAAUAUGUGAAGCAAUAUGUUAAUUUGGUUUAAAAAAAAACAAAACCUUCCUUUAAAAAAGUUCAUUCAGUAGAGUAAUAUAAAAGGAAAUAAUUUUGAAAGUGAGAGGCUUAAUUUCAUGUCUUAACUCAAAAUCAAUGUAAUGAAUAAACUCUGGAUCUUUCUUGUAUUAAAAAUUAAGGUCAGACGUGCUGCUUCUGAUUUGCUGUUUUUCCUGUAAAUAGUUGAAAUAAAAUGGCAGUCUCUGUUCAGGUCUUCACCAUGCACUCCUCUCACUUCCUAAUUGUUGAUUUGGUUUAAUUAUUUUCAAAGGUCAAUAUCAUGAAGUGAGAGCUGGAAAGUUAAAACCCCAGAUACUUGUUGUGGAAUGUUUGCGUAGCUGUAGUUAGCCAUUGUUUGAUGUGUACCUCUUCUUCAUUGGCAUGCUGCUUUCAAGUAUAGCAGAGGACAUUUUGUUCUAUUAUAAAUUCCAGAAUAAGAUAUUUCUAAAUUUACUUCCCUACCUAGACCAUCAAUCUAAUGCUUUAAAACAAAACAAAACAACAAUCAGAAAACACUUCAGUAAUGUGCCCUUUUAACAGUUAACUGAAUUCAUAUGAGUUAGAUUUCUUUAGUUUUGGAUAGCAUGCAUUCUGCAGCUCUCAUUGCGCUGGUGAUCUGUCUCUGUGCAAGUUUGGACCAUUCCGUUUUGUUUGCUUGUUUUUAAGUAAACUUGCCAUCACAGUGUGAGAAUGAUAUGGACAAGACUAAUGCACUGUGCUUCUCCCUCUCCCCCAAUAACUUAAAAGUAAGUGAAAUCUCAGCAUCUAGAAACUGGAAGAAUAGGUAUUUCAUUUGCAUGGUGGUUUCAUUUUAUUCAACUUCUCAUAGCAAAGGGACAAAAUCAAAGUCUGCUUACUGAAGUAUUAUAGGACAUUCAUAUAACUGUAUAUGAUUGUUAAAGGUAUUUUAACAGUCUUUGGGUCAGUGGGAGAAGCAUGCAGUGGCUUUAUGCAGUAAUGCAUACCCACUGUUGUAUGGUCUGCCACACUUUACUAAGCCCCAGAUAUAGAUAUAUUUUUUUUCUCUGAAAGGAUUAAAAUGUCUCCCUAAAUGAAAGCUAUUAAAAUGCGUUAUUCAGAUAUACCCAUUUAAAAAACAACCACCACCUUAUUUUCUCAGCAUAUCCUAAUCCUCAGUCUUUACAUGGCAUACAAAACUCAUUUUACCACUAUGUGCUUAUAUUUGAGGAGACUUACCUAGAUACACAAGUACCAGAGAAUACAGGAUGACUUGGUUACCAUGAGUCAUUAUCUCCCUAAGCAUAUAUAUAUCAGUUGACACAGCAGUAGGAAGCUAGCUUGGGAUUUUAAAGUUACUGUAGUAAUCUACAUAUAGAUAAUGGAUAAUUUAAGAUUGAUAUUUCAACUUCUUAUUUUGAAUUGAACAAUUUAAGACAUUGCUUCAGACUGCAAUCUUGAACUGGACAAAUUGAGGAGCCUUAGACUUUUCCUCUUGUUUGUAUCAUAUAAAAAAGUUAAAGGAUUUAGUUUCAGAGCAUGUAGUUGGACUGUCAUGCUGUCCUUUCCCAUCUCUGUCAUUCCAAAGGUUUGAGUUGAAUCUUUUGAUUUCUUCUUAUGUGUUCUCUAAAGAUAAAAUGCAGCAAAGUUCUAUUUAAAUAGAACACCGUAAUUCUAGAUACAUAUGAUGUUAGAAUUGUUCUAAAGAAAAUAUUUGUAAAGUACUUUAUGUGGACAGAUGAAUAUUUUUAUACUGGGCUAUUCAUUUUAAUAUUUCUACAUCUUCAAGCAGUAUAAUAAUGUUAAUGAAGUUGGACUGCUAUGAGAGAAUGGUCUUUAUUCAAACAAGAGAAGUAUAAAACUGAUUGAUCCAAAGUAUAUGCUUAUACUGUACGCACUGAAAUCUAAUGUCUUCUUUUCUAAAG
Sarcophilus harrisii (Tasmanian devil) is the source of this 4165-nucleotide long non-coding RNA. Lineage: Eukaryota; Metazoa; Chordata; Mammalia; Dasyuromorphia; Dasyuridae. The record is from Ensembl.